This 460-nucleotide ribosomal RNA is filed under the name uncultured bacterium. Its description in RNAcentral is "partial 16S ribosomal RNA". It matches the Rfam family "Bacterial small subunit ribosomal RNA", at positions 338 to 795 of the family's 1533-position model. The record is from RNAcentral.
CCUACGGGAGGCAGCAGUGAGGAAUAUUGGUCAAUGGGCGCGAGCCUGAACCAGCCAAGUAGCGUGAAGGAUGACUGCCCUACGGGUUGUAAACUUCUUUUAUAAAGGAAUAAAGUGAGGCACGUGUGCCUUUUUGUAUGUACUUUAUGAAUAAGGAUCGGCUAACUCCGUGCCAGCAGCCGCGGUAAUACGGAGGAUCCGAGCGUUAUCCGGAUUUAUUGGGUUUAAAGGGAGCGUAGAUGGGUUGUUAAGUCAGUUGUGAAAGUUUGCGGCUCAACCGUAAAAUUGCAAUGGAUACUGGGAGGCUUGAGUACAGUUGAGGGGGGGGGAAUGCGUGGUGUAGCGGUGAAAUGCUUAGAUAUAACGAAGAACUCCGAUUGCGAAGGCAGCUUACUAAUCUGCAACUGACAUUGAUGCUCGAAAGUGUGGGUAUCAAACAGGAUUAGAUACCCUUGUAGUC